Molecule: long non-coding RNA, 786 nt
Organism: Medicago truncatula (barrel medic)
Lineage: Eukaryota; Viridiplantae; Streptophyta; Magnoliopsida; Fabales; Fabaceae
Exons: 2
Source: RefSeq, a predicted model, not a curated record
AUUGUAGGAGAUAGCUAGCUUUAUACCUUAUAAAAUGAUCAAAUCUUGUCCUACCUAUUACAGAAGAAAAAAAAAAAGUUGGAAAACAUGAAUACAAUUCUGAAAUUUAUUUUCGUUGUGUUCCUCUGUCUUUCCAUAUUUCUUGUUGUAGAGAGCCUGAAUUUUGGUCCAUGUAAUACUCACGAAGAUUGUCAAAAGUAUGAGUAUACUUAUUCUUGUGUUAUGGAGUGUGUUGAAUCAGUUUGUGACUGUUGGUCAAAUGAGAUAGUGGAUUUUAUAUUCCCCAGGAAUUAGAAACUACAACUAUCUCUCUUUUGUGAGCCGUCCCAUAAACUUUAGUUUUUUCUUCUUCAUCCAUCAAAGAGGGGUGAUUUAGGGUCAAUCUUUGACAAUAAAUUAUUCGUCUAAAUCGUUUUUCUCCUUCCCUUUUAUUUAAAUUAAGAGAUUUUCACACUAUUUAGUUUUCUUUUUCGUGAUUUCGCCGUCUUAGUGCGAGAUUGUUUUGUUUGUCGUCUUUGUGCGUUGUUGUUUGUCAUUUUUCGUCUUGUUUUGGUGUUUUUCCGGUUCAGAUUGUCAGAUCAGCUUCAAUCGAGUGCAAAUUCAAUCAACGACUUUGGCGUCGUGAACUUUGCAUAUAUGAAGACAUGAGUAUUCUGGAGACUUGAAUAUAGUCAUGUUUGUAGACUAUUGUACUUUGUCGUUUAAUGUUAUUAACAUGGAUGUUGUAAAUUUGUUUACAGAUUCAUCAUUUUUUUUAUCGAAUUUGUAUUAUAUUGAUGUCUUGAA